This 337-nucleotide unclassified non-coding RNA is filed under the name soil metagenome. RNAcentral's name for it is "partial contains 5.8S ribosomal RNA, internal transcribed spacer 2, and large subunit ribosomal RNA". The stretch from base 3 to 120 matches the Rfam family "5.8S ribosomal RNA", at positions 37 to 154 of the family's 154-position model. The record is from RNAcentral.
GGUGAAGAACGUAGCGAAAUGCGAUAAGUAGUGUGAAUUGCAGAAUUCAGUGAAUCAUCGAAUCUUUGAACGCACAUUGCGCCCUUUGGUAUUCCUUAGGGCAUGCCUGUUCGAGCGUCAUCUAAACCUUCAAGCCCUGCUUGGUGUUGGGUGCCUGUCCCGCCUCCGCGCGUGGACUCACCUCAAAUCCAUUGGCGGCCCCCGCGUCGGCCACGAGCGCAGCAGAAACGCGAACUCGUGAGCCCGUCCGGGCGGCUCCCAGAAGCUAACCCCCAAUUUUUGACCUCGGAUCAGGUAGGGAUACCCGCUGAACUUAAGCAUAUCAAUAAGCGGAGGA